CUGGCGGCGUGCCUAAUACAUAGCAAGUCGUACGAGGGAAGUCCAGCUUGCUGGACGGAACGAGUGGCGAACGGGUGAGUAAUACGUAAGCAACCUGCCUGCAAGGACUGGGAUAACACCUGGAAACGGGCGCUAAUACCGGAUAGGUAACAAAGGGGCAUCCCUAUGUUAUUAAAGGUUAGAAACACAAGCAGAUGGGCUUACGGUGCAUUAGCUAGUUGGUGAGGUAACGGCCCACCAAGGCGAUGAUGCAUAGCCGGCCUGAGAGGGUGAACGGCCACAUUGGGACUGAGAGACGGUCCAAACUCCUGCGGGAGGCAGCAGUGGGGAAUAUUGGGCAAUGGGCGAAAGCCUGACCCAGCAACGCCGCGUGAGUGAAGAAGGCCUUCGGGUUGUAAAGCUCUGUUAUAGUUGACGAAGGAAGUGACGGUAGGCUAUAAGGAAGCCCCGGCUAACUACGUGCCAGCCGCGGC
RNAcentral lists this ribosomal RNA (473 nucleotides) under uncultured bacterium. Its description in RNAcentral is "bacterial SSU rRNA". It matches the Rfam family "Bacterial small subunit ribosomal RNA", at positions 36 to 518 of the family's 1533-position model. The record is from RNAcentral.